CUACGGGUCGCACCAGUGAGGAAUUUUGCGCAAUGGGGGAAACCCUGACGCAGCAACGCCGCGUGAGUGAUGAAGGCUUUCGGGUCGUAAAGCUCUGUCAAGUGGGAAGAACCCAUAUGGUGUUAAUACCGCCAUAUGCUGACGGUACCACUGAAGGAAGCACCGGCUAACUCCGUGCCAGCAGGCCGCGGUAAUACGGGGGGUGCGAGCGUUAUUCGGAAUUACUGGGCGUAAAGAGCGCGUAGGCGGUCUUUUAAGUCAGGUGUGAAAGCCCGGGGCUCAACCCCGGAAGUGCACUUGAAACUAAGAGACUUGAGUAUGGGAGAGGGAAGUGGAAUUCCUGGUGUAGCGGUGAGAUGCGUAGAUAUCAGGAGGAACAUCGGUGGCGAAGGCGACUUCCUGGACCAAUACUGACGCUGAGGCGCGAAGGCGUGGGGAGCAAACAGGAUUAGAUACCCGCGUAGUC
RNAcentral lists this ribosomal RNA (466 nucleotides) under uncultured bacterium. Its description in RNAcentral is "partial 16S ribosomal RNA". It matches the Rfam family "Bacterial small subunit ribosomal RNA", at positions 339 to 795 of the family's 1533-position model. The record is from RNAcentral.